This 253-nucleotide ribosomal RNA is filed under the name uncultured bacterium. RNAcentral describes it as "partial 16S ribosomal RNA". It matches the Rfam family "Bacterial small subunit ribosomal RNA", at positions 524 to 776 of the family's 1533-position model. The record is from RNAcentral.
UACGUAGGGAGCAAGCGUUGUCCGGAAUCAUUGGGCGUAAAGCGCGCGUUGGUGGCCAUGUAAGUCCGCUGUGAAAGUCAAAGGCUCAACCUUUGAAAGCCGGUGGAUACUGCAUGGCUAGAGUACGGAAGAGGCGAGUGGAAUUCCUGGUGUAGCGGUGGAAUGCGCAGAUAUCAGGAGGAACACCAAUAGCGAAGGCAGCUCGCUGGGACGUUACUGACACUGAGGCGCGAAAGCGUGGGGAGCGAACAGG